AGUGAACGCUGGCGGUAGGCCUAACACAUGCAAGUCGAACGGCAGCACAGUAAGAGCUUGCUCUUACGGGUGGCGAGUGGCGGACGGGUGAGGAAUACAUCGGAAUCUACUUUUUCGUGGGGGAUAACGUAGGGAAACUUACGCUAAUACCGCAUACGACCUACGGGUGAAAGCAGGGGAUCUUCGGACCUUGCGCGAUUGAAUGAGCCGAUGUCGGAUUAGCUAGUUGGCGGGGUAAAGGCCCACCAAGGCGACGAUCCGUAGCUGGUCUGAGAGGAUGAUCAGCCACACUGGAACUGAGACACGGUCCAGACUCCUACGGGAGGCAGCAGUGGGGAAUAUUGGACAAUGGGCGCAAGCCUGAUCCAGCCAUACCGCGUGGGUGAAGAAGGCCUUCGGGUUGUAAAGCCCUUUUGUUGGGAAAGAAAAGCAGCAGGUUAAUACCCCGCUGUUCUGACGGGACCCAAAGAAUAGGCACCGGCUAACUUCGU
Molecule: ribosomal RNA, 491 nt
Filed under: uncultured bacterium
Lineage: Bacteria
Description: partial 16S ribosomal RNA
Rfam family: Bacterial small subunit ribosomal RNA
Source: RNAcentral